AGUUGGGGCACAAACAGUUGGCCCGCCAACUAGACGAGGAGUGCGUCGUGGCGACGUUCCAGGA
This 64-nucleotide non-coding RNA is filed under the name Actinoplanes sp. SE50/110. The record is from RNAcentral. Lineage: Bacteria; Bacillati; Actinomycetota; Actinomycetes; Micromonosporales; Micromonosporaceae.